GGAGAGAUGCCGGAGUGGUCGAUCGGGGCGGUCUCGAAAACCGUUGACCCUCUUUGGGGGUCCCAGGGUUCGAAUCCCUGUCUCUCCG
This 88-nucleotide transfer RNA is filed under the name Bacteroidales bacterium. Its description in RNAcentral is "tRNA-Ser". It matches the Rfam family "tRNA". Rfam says of the family: Transfer RNA (tRNA) molecules are approximately 80 nucleotides in length. Their secondary structure includes four short double-helical elements and three loops (D, anti-codon, and T loops). Lineage: Bacteria; Pseudomonadati; Bacteroidota; Bacteroidia; Bacteroidales. The record is from RNAcentral.